Molecule: ribosomal RNA, 269 nt
Filed under: Salmonella enterica subsp. enterica serovar Minnesota str. A4-603
Lineage: Bacteria; Pseudomonadati; Pseudomonadota; Gammaproteobacteria; Enterobacterales; Enterobacteriaceae
Description: partial small subunit ribosomal RNA
Source: RNAcentral
CACACACUUAAUUAAUUAAGUGUGUGNNNGCCGCGGCCAACCGGAACUUCCAGGAUACGACCCGUACAUUUAACCUUCAUGCCUUCGGCAAGGUCAGCGUAUGGACCCAUGACUACCGCACCCACGGAGUCGCGCUCCAGGUUCAAUGCGAUAGCGUAACGGUUACCCGGCAGGGAGAUCAUUUCACCCUGCAUACAAUCGGCCAGGCCGUGAAUGCGGAUAACACCGUCACUGACAGAAACAAUAGUACCUUCGUUGUGAGCUUCGCU